CUGUAUGUUAACUGUAUUGGAAUUAAAAUGAAAAAAAAAAAACAAAAUUAACUCCGAAGAAAAAAGACUAAAUUGACAAAAUUUGUAGAGACCCUCCAAAUCUUUUGGCUAAAAGCACUGAUGUUGGUUUUUCUAACUCAAAUCUACUCCCUUUGACUUUUAUCCUUUGAGAUAAUCACAGGGCAUCCAAUGCACUUGGCCUCUGCCACCUUUGACUCACAGCUGAUAAAAGGAAACAUACUUCAAUAUUGUAAAGGCCUAGUUGCUUCUAUUAAAAACAAUUAUGCUUUGGUAGGACAAUCUUUUCACCAUGCACUCCAGGAAGAUGAAGAUCUUAAGCAUCAUACCUUGCAACCUGGAGAUUUUGUCUAUUGGAAAAGACACUUCUAGAAAAACUCUCUUCAGCCUCAUUGGAAGGGCCCUUAUCAGGUACUACUAAACAACCUUUAUAUUGCCAAAGUCCAGGGAAUAUACUCGUUUAUUCAUGUGACUCAUCUAAAGAAAGCACCAAACCCUGGCUGGACCUGCAAAACCAUCUGGUGACUAAGAUUUCCUGGAAUUGAAGCAGAUGACAUUUGAUGAGACAGCUUUCUCGAGAUGCCUGGACCAGAAGUUGACUGACCACCAGCAAGACUAGCUGAGACUGGAGCAAACCAGGAAGAAUUCUUGCAGUUGCACAAAAUGGACCAAGACAAAGAUCAAGAACAGGAGAAAAAGUAACAGUGCAAGAUGGAACAAGUGACCUUGCUUGCUACUGCUCUCACGCAGGAUAGACAAAGAAAAGGUAACGAAGCUAAGGGUAUUGACUACAAAUACACCAAAGAAGGCUGGAUUUACAACAGACAAGGAAUUGUGCUGAGCCCCAAACACCUUAUAGAAUAAAUAAUUUAUUUUUUUUUUAACAUUUAUUUAUGUAUAAAAGAGCGUGAGUUGGUCAGGGACA
Molecule: long non-coding RNA, 943 nt
Organism: Leopardus geoffroyi (Geoffroy's cat)
Lineage: Eukaryota; Metazoa; Chordata; Mammalia; Carnivora; Felidae
Exons: 4
Source: RefSeq, a predicted model, not a curated record